This 8816-nucleotide long non-coding RNA is filed under the name Physcomitrium patens. Its description in RNAcentral is "long non-coding RNA (PPAT_LNC012800)". Lineage: Eukaryota; Viridiplantae; Streptophyta; Bryopsida; Funariales; Funariaceae. The record is from RNAcentral.
UUUUAUCUUCAAGUUUCAGUGUAAGUUAAAGGAUACAUGAUUAAAUGACAACAUCUCUAAAAUUCUUUUGAGUGAUUAUGCUGCAUCUAACUGCAGAGAUACGUAGAAUUCGGCAUCUCCGACUUUUACUUGUAUGACAUCUGCAUAAUAAGCUUUCAUCACGCACCCCUUGGUUACAUAUGGGUGAAACCUAUAUUUACCCCGAUUAGUACUCGGUGGCCUGAGAUGACAUCUGAAACUUUGGGCUAGUUUCAGUGUCAAAAACCUGUGCUGCGUUAAUCUUAUUUCCAUACAAUGUGCUGAAAGCAGCUAAUGGAACGCAUGAAUUCUAACUGUUGGUUGCAUUCAGCCUUCAACGUCUAAGGUCCCAUCAAUUACCAACUAGACAUUAGUAUUCAAAUGACGACGACAAAGGUACUCUUUUUCACUUCGUCUCAACAACACCACUUGCAUUUCAAAUGUUCAAGAGAUCUCAAUGAAGACUUGGAAAGGAAUAUCGGUUUUUAGUUGUGUUCAUACAUUAAGCUGAGUUGAAUGAGCUCUACGAAAACUGCUUUCCUCAUUUCGUUAGGGAAUGUACAACUUCAGAAGUAUCUGUAAUGAAGGCUAUUUGUCGGCUGGCGGUUGAAACGCUGUCUGAUGGCGCUUGAAAAAUUCACGAAAUCCAUAUGCGCUCAUGUCGUAAUUGUACUGUUAACAUCAAACCGCAAGAACCUACGUGUCACUGACCAAAAACGCUAACGAUUUGCACAGAUCAACAUACUUGCUCAUGGACUAUACUUGGAAAGGCUACUCGCAACACUCAUUACCUCUGUAAUCUUUAAAAUCCACAAGCGAACAGAGCUUGCAUUUAAGUUGAAGAGAAUGGAAACUAAACACCAUAGCAUCGGAGAAUUGAUAUGUUGAGAAGGACUAACCGGAGUAACAUUGUCACUGUAACGCAUUACAGGCUGAUCAAAUAAUUCAUAGUUUAAUAAUGAUAAAUAUGCUUAUUGAGCUCUUGACAAGGCAAUAAUCUAUUAUGCCAAUUAGAGAAGAAAUACUUACUCAAAGUGUGUUGGCAUCAGAAGGUGAAUGACUAAGAGAUGAACUUUUAGCUAUUAUAAUUAAACAACUUGAGAAAAAAUUGAAAGAUAUAUAAAUAUCAUUAGAAACUUUAAGAAGAACAAGAUUACAAACUAAGACAUAAUUUGAUAAACAACAUCAAUUGAAAUCUAAAGCAAUUGAAGAAGGUGAUUGAAUUUUGGACUAUGAUAGUAGUUUGAACCAUUAAUAUAAUACUUUAAAGUUUUUUAUACAAUGGUUUGGACCAUAGGUAAUAACAAUUUUUUUAUGAUAAUGUGACUUAUUGAUUACAAGAUCUAAAUGGAAAAAAAUUAAAAAUAUUAGUUGUAAGAAAAUAUGUGAAGAUAUUGAAACAAAGAUAGAUAGAAAGAAAUAUAGAAGACCUCGUUGAAGACUUAAAUCUUUGAAGAUAAGAAGAUGAGUUUGACUUGGAUAGCAAAAAUGAUAAAAAAAAAAGAAAAAGAAAAAAAAAAUGAUGAAGAUAUGGAGAACAUAAUAUGAAUCAAAUAAGAUUUGAAUUAUUUGAUAUAUAUCAAAGGAUGCACAAUUUUAAAGGAUGUGGAUAUUGAGUGAUAACAUGAAUAUAUGGUGAAAAAUAAAAAUAUAGAUGUUAUUAUAGAAGAGCCUAGUAGAAAUAUAUAAUAAAAUAAUAAGAAUAAAUUAUAGAAAGGUAAUAAAAAAAUUUAGUCUUAAUUUUUUUUAUAGAAGGAACUUCUAUUUAUUUUAUAGAAGCAUAAAUAAACCAAAUCAAAGUAAAUAUGAUAAGAAAUUGAUAUACGCAUAUUUAAAAGAAAAUUAACAAUAGAUUAAAGUAAAACUUACCUCAAAUUACCAAAAAUUGAUAUUCAAAGAGGAUUGGUUGUGAACUUGGAUUGAAAUCACACCUUGAGAUACAAAACUAUGCACCUAUAGUGACUUUGGGAUUUUUAAACAAAUCAAAGAAAGUAUGGUUUUAAAAAAAACUUCAUAGGAUUUUUUUGAACAUUGGUUUUGGGUAAUUUGAAUAUCUAAUAACUUUAUAAGAGCAUUGCAAAGUCAAGGUUAUUUUUGAUGAAUAUUAUUUUGAAAAAAAAAAAUAUAUAUAUAUAUAUAUAUAUAUAUUCAAAAAAAAUUUGUAGAUUUGGUAGUAGAUCUAUAAAUAAAAAUUUGUAGAUUUAUAAUUAUAGUUAUUUUUAUUAUGAUUAGUAAAUUUGAACAUGAUCAAAUGAUUAGAUUGAAGGUUAUUGAAGUUUAAGUAGGUUGGAGUUUCAAAAAUAGAGUUUGAAGGUCAAUGGUGGUUUCUAAGAUAUUUAAUAGUUUGUCAAUUGGAUUGAGAUGAAAUUUGUGUAUCUAGAUAGCAGAAUUGAUUUUCAACAUAUAUAUAAAAUUUUAAAGGUAUUUAAUAGUAGAAUUAAGAGAUUUUGACUUAAAAAGAUUUAUAUUAAGAUUGGAAAAUGAGGCUAAUGAAUACCUGAGCAGAUUUUAGGAUUUAACUUUUAUUUGAUAAGUUUGAUUUUCUUAACAAUAUUUGCACUUAUUUUUGGCUUAAUUUUUAAAAGGCGUACUAAUUUUUAAUUAAAAUCAAUAGUUUAAUUAUUAAUUAUAGAAGUUUCAAUCUGCCAUAGGAUUCAUUAAGAAUUUAUUUAAGAUUUAGAAUUUGAUUGAGGUUUGUUUAGGAUUUUUCUAAGAUUUGAUUAAAAAUUCUAAGAUUUGAUUAGAGUUUUUUUAGGAUUUGAUUAGGAUUUUUAUAGUAUUUUAUUAGAAUUUUUUAUGAUUUAUCUAGGAUUUGAUUAGGAUUUGUCUAGAAUUUUUCUAGGAUUUAAUUAGAAUUUAUUUAAAAUUUGAUUAGAAUUUGUUUAUAAUGUGAUUAAAAUUUGAUUAGGAUUUUUUUAAAGAUUUUAUUAAAAAUUAUCUAAGAUUUAAUUAAGAUUUGAUUAAGAUUUGUCUAGGAUUUGUUUAUGAUUUAAUUAGGAUUUAUUUUAGAUUUAUUUUAUUUCUUUUAUAAUUUAUUUAAAAAUUUAAUUAGACUUGAUCAAUAUUUGAUUAUAUUUGUUAAACUUUAAUUAUAAUUUAUAUAAGAUUCUAUUAGAUUUUUUAAUAUUUGUUAUUGUAAUUUUCUUUUACCUUCCACAACUACAUACCCAGUGUAUUUUAAGCAAGACUUCACAUAACAUGAAAAUGCCAAGAAGUUGUAUAAUUGAGAGAAGCAAAUAAAUCAAGUUUACAACUAAAUUUGAAGAAUCUUGCUACUACAAGCAUGAAAGAAGCAAGGAUAAGUAUACCAGAGAAAUUUGAUAGAAUAAGAUAAAAGUUUUGAAGGUUUCUACAAUAAGUGAAGCUUUAUCUAAAAUUAUAUCAUUUUCAAUACCUCAAUGAAUUUACUUAAGUUGAAUUUAUAUGCAUAUUUCUAUGUAAGAUUUUUUUUUUGAUUUAAACCUUUCAUAGAAAUGGAUUCUUUAUUCUAUGAUUUAAAUUUAUUUUUAGGAGUUUUUAUUACCAUAUUUAGAAAAAAUCAUUAAAAAAAGAUAGCACAGACCAAACUCAUAUCUUUACAAUAAAAACCACAUUUAGCCACCAGAUAUGCUGCUAAAUUUCAAAACCUUGCUUGAGAUAUGGAUUGAAAUAAUAAAGCCUUUAUUAAUUAAUUUUACUAUGAAUUAAAAGAUAAUAUCAAAGAUUUAUUGUUGAUAAUGUCAAAAGCAAGUUCAUUAAAGUAAUUUAUUAUUGAAGCCAUUAUAUGUAAUAUUUUAUUCUUUGAAAGAAACUAAGAACAAAGAUUUGGUUGAAGAGAUACAAGUCAAAUCAUGGCUAUAGCUUUUAGGUUUUCAAAAUUUUAUUCAUCAAGACUAGAAUCUAUGCCAAUUGACAUAAUAUGUUUUAGACUUCUUACUAAGUAAAAAAAGACUUGACGUCAUGAAAAAAGAUUAUACUUAUAUUAUAAAGAACCUAAACACAAUACUUAAUAUUUUUUGAAGAAGCAACACAACCACAAAAUGAAGAGCAUGGUUGCUAAAGAAGAUGAUGUGUUAGAAAACUAGUUUCUCCAAUUACAAUAAGAAUUGUGCAACUUAAAUCUUGUGCAAUACUUAAUAAAGAUCUUAUUUUGUCUUUAAAUCAUUCACCUUAUUUUAUAGUAGAAAUUUUUUUAGGACCAAAAAAUCACAAAGUUUUAGCUUUGUUAGAUUCAAGAGCCUUAACUACAUUUAUACACAAAGACUUUGUUAAAAAAACAAGAAAUACCAUUAAUUAAAAAAAUCAAAUUUAUGCACCUAAAAGUAAUAGAUGGUCAUUUUUUGUCUUCCAAAGAUGUCACCUAUAAAAUUAUUCUUUUAGAAGUAGCAACUAAUAGUCAUAAUAGCUUAGUAAUAUUUAAUAUAAUUGAAUCUCCUUCUAAUUUAGUUAUUUUAGGAUAUUUAUGGCUAAAAAAGUAUAAUCCUUAAAUAGAUUAAAUUUCUUAUAAUCUUGAUUUUUUCCAUAGUUUAGCUCAAGAUUUUGCUAGUCAAAUAAAAAUCUAUAAGCUCAAUACGUUCAAAUUCUUAUUAAUAGGUGCAAUAGCUUUUAUGCAUAUUACAAAAGCAAAUGUCAAUUUUUUUUCUAUAUAUGCCACAUCUAUUUUUGAUGGAAAAAAAAAUUCAAGUGACAUUUCAAGCCAAUACUAAGAUUAUCAAGAAGUUUCUAAAAAAAACAUGGAUAUCCUUUCAAAACAUUGUUUAUAUGAUUUUUUUAUUGAUCUUUAAGAAAGAGCUCAACCUUUAUUUGAACCAAUCUAUAGCCUAUCAUAAAAUGAGUUGAUUGCACUUAAGAAGUAUAUUGACAAAAACAUAGUAAGAAUUUUAUACACCACUCUAAAUCAUAAGUAGGGAUUCCUAUCUUAUUUGUGAAGAAAAAAGAUGGAUCCUUGUAGAUGUGUAUAGACUAUCAAAGACUCAACAAGAUCACCAUCAAGAAUAGGUAUCUCCUACCUUUGGUUUCAAGACUUCUUGACCUAGUCAAUUAAACAAAGAUCUAUACCAAAAUAGACCUACGAGGAGCAUAUAAUUUGGUGUGCAUUAAAAAAGAAGAUGAAUAAAAAACUGUAUUUCAAAUGAGGUAUAGAUAUUUUAAAUAUAACAUCAUAUCUUUUAGAUUUACAAAUACAUCAACUGCUUUUUAAUAUCUAAUGAAUGAAAAAUGUGCAAUGUUUAAUUUCAAAAAACAUUGCACAAUGAAUGUGAUAAAAAUGUGCAAUUUUUUUUGAGAUUUACCAAUUAUUAUUGGACUUUUGUUAAAAACUUUUUUUAAGAUGCAAUUCUUCUUAUAUGUCUAACAUAUACUUCUUUUGCAUCCAAUUUAUUUCUAUUUAGAGUGAUUUUAUUCUAAAUUCAAAUUAUGUCUUUUAAAAAAAAUCAAAAUAUAUCUUUAAUAUAUUUUUAUUUUCUAUGCUUAUCUUUCAAUUAUAUUUAAUAAAUCUUCUUGUCCAAGUAACAAAUACUUUAUUUGCCUAAGUUCUAUAGGCAUUGCUACAAAAUUCACCACUAAAAAUUAAUAAAUUAUCUCACUUGAGUAUUUAGUAUAAAAAAAAUGCACUCAUUGUACUUAAAAUCAUAGUUUUUGUAAAUUAGUAGUGUAAUUGUUAGGAAAAAAUAAGAAAUGGAUUGCUUAAUAGCAAAUAUGCAACCAAGGACGGAAUUUAAUUAAAAAAAAUCUCCAAAGAAGAUGUUUUUAGUUAGCUAAUAUUAAAUGAAGGCCCAAAGGAAGUAGUCUUAGUAUUAAAAAUAUACAUAUAUAUAUAUAUAUAUAUAUAUACUAAUAGUUCUUAAAACAUAUAUAUAUAUAUAUAUAUAUAUAUACAUACAUAUAUAUUAUAAAUAAUAAUGAUAAUAAAAAAUAUAUAUAUCAAAAAAAUUAGAAAAAAGAAUAGAGAAGUAAAGAAGGAAGAAAGAAAAGAAAAAAAAAAUACAGAAGAAAAGAAAAAGAACAAAAGAGAAAAAUAAAAAUAAAAUGAAAAUAAAAGAUGAUUAAAAAGGCAAGAUGCUACCCUUGAAUAGCAGCAGCUUCCUCGUGGAUAUGGAACCGGGCCGCCCCAAAUCCUUCUUCUUCCUUUUCAUUUCUUUUGUUUUUUGGUGUUGGAAUCUGAGCUCCAAUUGCUCCGGAUUUCCUUCUUGAGCAUGUUCCAAAUGUGUUUAUUUUCUGUACGUGUGUGUGUGGCGGUACUUCUUCUUCAUUAUUACGUCAAAAUGUAGUAAAACAAAAUAAAAUAAAUAAAAUAAAAAUAUGAAACUUUGUUGUGAUCAGAGCACAACAUGGAGGUUUAGCUUCGAUGCUCUGUGUCCUUUUAUGGAAGUACUGCAGUGCAGUAUUUUCCCCUUUUAAGAAAAUCAAUUGAAUUAUAAAUAUAUAAUGUAAAAUAAAAUCAAUUGAAUUAUAAAAAAUGAUUUAUUAAAACUUCUAAGUAUUCAAUGUGUAACAAGAAAAAUCAUUGCUUUUAAGUGGUUAAUAAAAUUAGAUAUGGUUUUGAGGGAACUUUACUUCAGAAAAAGACACGUCUAACUCUAAUUUAAAUUACUAAGUAGAAUGGAAUUUGACAUCUUUCAUUCCAUUUAAAGAAGACGAGUUUAUUGAAAUAAAAUAAUACAACUAAAAAAUAUAAUCAGCACUCAUUUGGCUUAUAUGGCACAAAGACAUUGUUGGUAAUACUUAAAAAAUAUAGAACUUAGAUAUGACAUAAGUAACAAUUGUAAAAUUUGCACCUUACAUAUAAAAGAGAGCAUUUUUUAUAGAUGUUAAAGAUGAUUUUAGAUUUUAAAUUUUAUAAAUAAAUGUAUAUAUAAAUAUAUAUAUUAUUAUUAUUAUUUAUAUAAAUAUAAAUAUAAUAUUAUUAUUAUUAUUAUUAUUAUUUGUAUGAGAAUCAUAAUCUUUUUUUCAAGUUGUAGAUUUCUUAAAUAAACUUAGACACUUUACACCUAUUUUAUAUUUUGACUAAUCUAAGCUCUUUAAGAUAUUUAUUAUUUUUUUAAAUAUAUAUAUAUAUAUAUAUAUAUAUGAAAAAAGAAUCUCUUAUUUGCUAAUUAUACUAUCUUUGUAGAAAUGAAAAGUACUAAAGCUUAUUAAUAAAAUUAAAAAACAUUCUUUACCAAUCACAAACAACCACCAAUUACUAUAAAUAAAAAUUUAGUCAAAUUUUCAUUUAAACUAGCAAUCACUGCACCAACAAUCAAUGGCUUAUACUUCUUUGAUGCCCAUUUUGUAUCAAAAAGUCAACUUUGGUGGUUAUUGGAAGCCAAACAUGCUUAUAAGACUAUGCACUAGCCAACUUUUCUGUUAAUGUCUUAUUCUUUUGUAAGAUACAUUAUCAUCUUCAAUUCCACAAGUUCUUUUUUGUGUGAAUUAUCUCACUUCUAUUAUUAUGUAAGAUAUAUUAUAAAGAAUCUUUGAAUUCUAUCUUUAAACACUAUUCUUGUAUUAUAUCCUUUCUCUUCUUCAACAAAAUAUAUAAAAAAGAGAAUUAAUAGAUGAAAUAUUCUUAGUAAAUUAGAAAAAAAAAAAGAAAAAAAAAGAGAGGAUAUAAUACCACUAUAUAAUCUACCCAAAGAUUCUACCCAAAGAUUCAGCUUGUUAAAAGGGAAGAUAAAAAUACAAUUUAUUGAAAAUACUAAUAAAUGCACACUAAGUGUAAAAAAUUGCUUCUAAUCUUAUUCUAACUUCAAAAGUAGUAACCAAUACAACAAAUUAUUCAAAAGAAAAAAAUAAAAAUAAAAAUGAUCCGGAUGAAUUGUGGUUAGCAGGCAGGACAAUGUUUUCUGAAUCAUCCACGAUCUGAAAAUCACCAUGACAUUCCGGAGAGACGCCCUUCCAAACAUUGGCCCUCGUAGACCUAAAUUGACGCCUCAUAUUCGAAGACAUUUAGCAACAAGCGUAGCUGAAGAAGAUCUACAUGAUUAGCUAAGGAUUGCCGGAAUUAGGCAUUGAUACACGUUGGAAUUCUCAUGGGCGACGAUGUAAUGUCAUUCAGAGUUUCAGAAAGAGGAUUGAGAAUCUCUGUCCUUCCCUAAAGCAUCAAUUCAAUCGGGGAAAGAUGGAAGAACCUGUUGGUGUCAAGAUCGAUACUCUGCUUGAUCAUCUCAAAGAGUUUUCCAGGUGUUUGGGGUUUCUGGGUUUCUUCAGAAUUUGCUUGCUCUGUGUCUGAAGUAGGAGUUUGGGGUUUUAGGGUUUUUGGUUUUUUAACUCGCGAAUUUGAUAUGGGUUCAUACGAAUGAUUUUGGAAGUAGUGGAGGUUGUUGGUGACCUGUGGUGCUUACUUGAUUUCUGUUUCGAAUGGCAGGUAUUAUACAGGGUAUCCGCGCGAGGAACGGGUUUCACGAGUUCUGGAGUUCAAAUCAGAGCGUCAGUUUGUUGAGCUUCUGCACCAGGGCGAGCCAGUGGCUGUUGCCUUUACACUCAAGUACUUUGAAAUCUGUCACGGGCUCUCGGUGCUGCAUUUUCUCUUGAUUGUCUUAUUAUUUUGUGGGCUUUGGAAUAAUCGGUUGCUUCUGUUACGUUGAGCAUAUGCAUUUCGUUUUGAACGUCUGUCCUUGAAACCAAACCUCUACUGUAUUCUUUGCCAAACUUUCAAAACUUUGGACCCCUUAUUUUUUCAGCCAUACCGUUUUAUAUACAAUAAAGAGAUCGUUACCUAUGAAUUUUGUAUUCAAUGAUCAGAGUGCACGUGUGUGUAUGCGUUUAGAUGUCCGUGGACACGGAGAUUUGAUCGUGUCCUGGAGGAUGCAGCUGCUGAAUGGUACCCACAUAUCAAG